RNAcentral lists this transfer RNA (73 nucleotides) under Bracteacoccus aerius. RNAcentral's name for it is "tRNA-Arg". It matches the Rfam family "tRNA". From Rfam's summary of the family: Transfer RNA (tRNA) molecules are approximately 80 nucleotides in length. Their secondary structure includes four short double-helical elements and three loops (D, anti-codon, and T loops). Lineage: Eukaryota; Viridiplantae; Chlorophyta; Chlorophyceae; Sphaeropleales; Bracteacoccaceae. The record is from RNAcentral.
GCGCUCGUAGUUCAAUUGGAUAGAAUUUCAAGCUACGGACUUGACGGUUGUGGGUUCGAACCCUGCCGAGCGU